AAUUAAAUUUAUCUAGGAAACUCUUGGGCAUUUCCAAAUAGAAAAGUCUCAGGUGAUUCUUUUUCCGAUUACACGGUGAAGAUUGUGUGAAAAAUAUUCAGUGAUUCUCUCCGUAGAGAAGAAAAAAUAGGAGAGGAAAUUUUGAAGCACCGCAGAUCAGAUACAAGUUUUUGCUGUUCGACCAUUCAUAUGCCUACUUCCUCGGAGGCAAAUUGGAGUGCCAAAAUUAUUGUCUUCGAUUAGUAUGUUUUUAAAUUGAGAACCUGAAGAAAAAGUUUGUCUGAUCAUGAGAUAUGGUAACCAAGUAUUGAUAGUGAGAUGCAUUGUGCUUUUAUAAUGGCAUUGUUAUCCUACAUCGAAACUCGAUCGCAAAUGCCUGUACUUUCACUUAUUCUUACCCUCUCUUUUCCCAGAUUAAGAGUAUGUCUAUUUUUUACUUAUUUGUGGGUGCUAUUUUAAGCUUUUAUCCACCAAAUGAAUACAAAAAUUACAAAUUAUUGCACGAGCGUACAAGAACCAGUAAAUAAACCAAUAACCAAAACAAUUAAAUCAACAUAAUAGUCAGCGAUUUAUUCCAGGAAUAUUAUAUAUUACAUAGUUAAUUUAAGUAAAUGCUUUUAUAUCGAUAAAUGUUACUUUAAACCCUUUUGAAACUAGUGUUUCACAGGCUUGGCAUUCAAACUUUUCUGUAAACCCCUUUUCAAGAUCGUUUAUUAUGAACUUGGCUUUCCUCAAAGUAACGUCUGGUUUUUUUUUGUUUUGUUUUUUUUUUCCAGUCCAUGUGUGCUAGGCAUGCUGUGGAAAGUCACAAGUAAUGAUGCUGACAACAUGUGUGUCACUCUUUUAAAUAACUGGCUUCCUGGAAAAUCCGCAGAAAUAGCAAGUUUCAUCUCGGGGAAAGUUGAGAUCGUAGUCAAAUCUGAGCCGGAAUUAUUACGCUCUCUGAGGUUUGCCCGGGAAUCUUGUGUCUACUAUGUUAAUUCUGCAGGACUUGUAGUUUAUGGAAUUCCUGUUAAAUUCUCCUGAAGUUUAUUUGCAUGUUUUUUUUAUGAAUUCCCUU
Molecule: long non-coding RNA, 1060 nt
Filed under: Bemisia tabaci
Lineage: Eukaryota; Metazoa; Arthropoda; Insecta; Hemiptera; Aleyrodidae
Description: lncRNA ENSASIAIIG008040
Source: RNAcentral